CUGGAGACUAAGAACGGAGUCCUUGAAGUCAAGCCGACUCUGCCUGGAGCCUCCUAAAUGAAAAGGUAGAGAGAACAGGUCUUGGCUGCAAGGGAAACCCAAGACCUGCUUAUCUACCGACAGCA
This is a non-coding RNA of Talpa occidentalis (Iberian mole), 125 nucleotides long. RefSeq annotates it as small Cajal body-specific RNA 15. Lineage: Eukaryota; Metazoa; Chordata; Mammalia; Eulipotyphla; Talpidae. The transcript has a single exon. The record is from RefSeq and is a predicted model, not a curated record.